Non-coding RNA from Elgaria multicarinata webbii, 406 nucleotides. The record is from the annotation of a RefSeq genome assembly. Lineage: Eukaryota; Metazoa; Chordata; Lepidosauria; Squamata; Anguidae.
AUGUGGAUCGGCUGGUGUGCGGUCAUUUGUCUCUUGGAAGUAGGUGGCUCCAAUGCAGAUGUCGUCCAACCCUGGAGCAUGGUGCGGCGAGAAGGCCAAACCGUCACCAUGGAGUGCACCCAAAACAAUGGGCAUGAGACCAUGCUUUGGUAUCGGCAGGCAGGAGGGCAGGGGCUGCAGCUCCUCUAUAACUUCUAUUAUAAGCAACUUCAAGAGAAUGGCACGCAGUCUGACCGUUUCUCAGCCGAGCAGCCUGAAACAGACACAUGUCACCUGAUCAUCUCUUCGGCAAAGCCAGAGGAUUCGUCUGUGUAUUUCUGUGCAAGCAGAUCAGACACAGCACUUCAAAGUAACCUCUUCCCCCUACAAAAACUUGUUUCAUCAGUAUGUGCGGGGACAGAGCUGA